Paramormyrops kingsleyae is the source of this 1828-nucleotide long non-coding RNA. RefSeq lists it as uncharacterized. Lineage: Eukaryota; Metazoa; Chordata; Actinopteri; Osteoglossiformes; Mormyridae. The record is from RefSeq and is a predicted model, not a curated record.
UGACGAAAGCGUGCUUGGGCCCGGAGCGUUAAGUGCGAUGUGAGCGCAGACCAGUGGGAGAGUAGGAUGGGGGCGAUGGUUCUCCGGCACGGAGCAACGGAAGCGGGCCAAAUCACUGUGACGUCCUGUGAAGCAGAGAAGCAAGGCGAAGUCUCCUCUAUCGUUUACAAGCCGCCAGCGAGUACUAACACACCAUAAUUACGUCCUUCCAGGGACGGGAUCAGCAAGCAGAACAAAGUCCCUGGGGCCAGUGGAGGACAUGCUUCAGAGUACAGGUGGCUGCUUGGGCCUCCAGGACGAGAGGUAUGAUUCAAGUCGACUGCAGAACACCAGGACCAUCAGAAACAUGAACCAGGACAUGGGAGCCAGGAACUGGAGCUGAAAUGUUUAAACAUGCCAACCAGAAGGAACCCAAUACAUCCAUGGCAUACCAGGCCAAGACAGUUACCACCGCCAGAAUGCACCUUUAAGACAACAAAUUGGGUCAGAAUAAAAUACUGGAAGCAGUUCCAGGACUCCAAUGCUGAAAAAAACCAACCAUUUUGUCUGUGGGACUCCAAAAUGGACUGGAAAGAUUUUAAGUUUAAAUACAUUUCAAAUCAGUUCAGAGCCCAGCAGUACCUAACCAUAACCAUAACCAUAACCAUAACCACAACCAUAACCAUAACCACACGUGCAGGAUGUCAGUUUAGCCAAUCAGACUAAAAUUUAAAAAUGCCUUUGUGAAGCUUCCCAUCGACGUCUCAGUUGUGUGCUGGUUUGUUGUAGAUACUGUUAUCCUUCCACAACUAUCGUGGUGCAGUGCAGAAGAGUCUGGCUGGUGGCUUUUUAAUAUUUUUGUCCCCCAUUUCAUCCCUGACUUUCAAAUGUAUCACCCAGAGUGGCCUCAUCGCACGCAGUCAGUGUGCAGAAGGGUCAUGGUAUCACCACAGACUUCAACCAGUUGCUGAGAUCUUUGCAAGUCUGCCUGCUCAUAGUUCCUACUCAUUAUUCAUUAGAUAUCGGCAGACAUCAAAGCACCGAAACGAUGCCCCAGAAAACAACGUCCAUCAGAGGAAAAUGGCUAAUCAUAGUUCUCCUAAAAGGUCCUUUUAGGGCAAUGACCUUUGACCAUUUUAGAAACAGUUGUUUUGAAGGUUUGCGUGUGCAUAUUGUUAUAUACAUGUUAGUUUCCUGGUUUUCUAUUUAAGAAAAUGUUAAAUAUUUGAUACAUUGCUCAUGUCAAGGCAUGGCUCGCAGGCACACAUUUUAGUCAAAAAUUAUAUCUAUUCAUAAAAUCAUAAAAUCAAAAUUAUGUAUUCACAUUUUUUUAGUAUUAUGGCUCUAAAAAUGAUUCCAUGUGUAAGUUCAUCUAAUAUAACUUAAACUGGCCUGAAUCAUCACUGGCUUCAUUCACUUUGCUUUGAGUUUCAGGACUUGCGUAAAACUAACUGAGCUUCCGAGCACGAGGCAUGCAAAGGGCAAAACAGUUCCCCAGAUUUUACACUGAAAAGGAAAAUGAACUGUGUACAACUCACUUUAUUAGACUUGUCUAUAAAUACAAAGGCUUUUUAUGCCUGCAAACAUCUAAUACCCAAUUUAAUUAUUAGGAAAGUUGCCUACAAGAGAAAAACAAGCCCUUGGGCUGUUUAACUUUAAAAGCUUAUGCUUCAGAAAGUAUAUAAAACAAAUAAUCUGACUAGACCCAUAACCCAGAGAGACCUUGCUGACUGCCUGAUAAUUGUCUGCUUUCAUGGUGCCAUACAACCAGAAAAUUACACUUCUGUUUUCACGCCUGUUGGGCACUAUCGCUGGGGCUAUUGCAAACAAGGGAUUCUUCACACAGAGA